CUGGGAAGACUUUCAACUACCAAUAGCUAAUAUGUAUGACCCAUAGGACAUUUCGUAUGUAUAUUAAUUAAUUGUUAACCAGGGUUUGAUUGACCCGUUAAGAUUAGGGUUGUUUAAUAACCAAAAGUUAGUACAAUGUUAGCUGCUAUACUACGUUUACAAGUUUCUAUUUAGAAAUAUCACAGUAGAUGUUAAAACAUAGUGAGUGCCAUCGAUGGAAAAAAAAAAAAAA
Non-coding RNA from Pelobates cultripes (western spadefoot toad), 232 nucleotides. Lineage: Eukaryota; Metazoa; Chordata; Amphibia; Anura; Pelobatidae. The record is from the annotation of a GenBank genome assembly.